UUUGGAGCCUGCAGCACCCAUUAGUGCAUGGAUUGUUUAGACUCAGAUCUCUGUUUCUCCCUUAUCCGAUUCAACUUAAGGAUUCAACAAUUUCCAUCAACAAGUCUUCUGGGCUAUUAUCUGUCUGUCCCUGUUGGUUAAUGUUUGGAUUGCUAUUAGGGUUUUGCUUGGGAAAUGGGAAUUUUGCAGGUAAUGGAAUGGAGACGGGGGUUUGUUUGCUUUGACAGAGUAAAACCAACAAAAUGAAAA
RNAcentral lists this unclassified non-coding RNA (249 nucleotides) under Hevea brasiliensis (rubber tree). The record is from RNAcentral. Lineage: Eukaryota; Viridiplantae; Streptophyta; Magnoliopsida; Malpighiales; Euphorbiaceae.